Molecule: long non-coding RNA, 2113 nt
Organism: Oncorhynchus tshawytscha (Chinook salmon)
Lineage: Eukaryota; Metazoa; Chordata; Actinopteri; Salmoniformes; Salmonidae
Source: Ensembl
AUGAAUCCAGGUGAAAACACACUCAUCAUGAAUCUAUAUAUAGUGACAUCACGUCCUACUGCAUCGAGAUCAGGACUCCUCCUCAAACAGACUCAUCAGGAAUCUAUAUAUAGUGACAUUUUGAAACAAACAAGGUGAGAAAGGAGAACUAAACAGACACCGGGUUGACAAAACUUUAAGAACACCUGUUCUCUUUCCACGACAGACUGACCAGGUGAAAGCGGUGAUCCAUUAUUGAUGUCACUUGUUAAAUCCACUUCAAAAUCAGUGUAGAUGAAGGGGAGGAGACAUGUAGAUGAAGGGGAGGAGACAUGUAGAUGAAGGGGAGGAGACGGGUUAAAGAAGGAUUUAGAAGCUUUUCGACAGUUGAGACAUGGAUUGUGUGUGGCUGUAAGAGCCUUCGAACGGGGUGUGGUAGUAGGUGACAGGCGCACUGGUUUGUGUCAAGAACUGCAAUGCUGCUGGGGUUCUCACACUCAACAGUUUCCCGCGUGUAUCAAGAAUGGUCCACCACCCAAAGGACAUCCAGCCACCUUGACACAACUGUGGGAAGCAUUGGAGUCAACAGGGACCAGCAUGCCUGUGGAUCGCUUUCGACACCUUGUAGAGUCAACAUGGACCAGCAUCCCUGUGGAACGCUUGACACCUUGUAGAGUCCAUGUCCCGACGAAUUGAGUCUGUUCUGAGGGCAACUCAAUAUUAGGGAAGGUGUUCUUAAUGUUUUGUUCACUCAGUGUAAAUUCUCUUCUCAACAUUACACUGUACACUCCAGGUCGACUGUUAAGCUCUUAGUAUUCCUUAUCUACCUGUUAAAUAACCAUAUUGAAGUAAUCAUUAAUUCAUUAAUGACUUCCCCCAUCAGCGGGGUUCAGUCUAGUCCAGAAGAACAGGUUGUUAGAUUGUUAGAUUGAGUUCCACAUCAGCAGGGUCCAGUCUCGUCCAGAAGAACAGGUUGAGUUCCACAUCAGCAGGGUCCAGUCUAGUCCAGAAGAACAGGUUGUUAGAUUGUUUGGCUUGUCUUCCUCUGUCAGAGCAGCUAGUAAAAGUCAAGUAGUAUUAAUUAUGAAACAUUUUCCCACCGAGAAGCUGUUCAACACAACGUUGACUCCAUAUGGACAACCUUAAAGUGACCGUGUAGUCUGUCUCUGAACCUCAACUUCACAGUUUGUUGCUAAAGUAGUGCAUCGUUUGGCUUCACCACAGCUGUCUGUUAGAGAGUCAGUGUUCAGGUGGAAACCCAGGUGGCUCCUGGUAAUUGGGAGUCAGAGAGUUCAGGUAGAAGCCCAGGUGGCUCCAGGUAAUUGAGAGUUCAGGUGGAAGCCCAGGUGGCUCCAGGUAAUUGGGAGUCAGAGAGUUCAGGUGGAAGCCCAGGUGGCUCCAGGUAAUUGGGAGUCAGAGAGUUCAGGUGGAAGCCCAGGUGGCUCCAGGUAAUUGGGAGUCAGAGAGUUCAGGUGGAAGCCCAGGUGGCUCCAGGUAAUUGGGAGUCAGAGAGUUCAGGUGGAAGCCCAGGUGGCUCCAGGUAAUUGGGAGUCAGAGAGUUCAGGUGGAAGCCCAGGUGGCUCCAGGUUACAUGGUUGGAAGCCCAGGUGUCUCCAGGCUACAUGGUUGGAAGCCCAGGUGUCUCCAGGCUACAUGGUUGGAAGCCCAGAUGUCUCCAGGUUACAUGGUAAUUCUCUUUAACAAUGUUAUUGCCAAUAGAAGAAGAAAAGUGACCCAUCCAUAUUUCCAGGAUGGGAAGGCACUUUGGUGACAAGUCUCUCCGUCUGAAAUUCCACCCUAUCCCCUCAUCAGGGAAUUAGGUGCCAUUUGGGACACACCCUGACAGGAAUAUGUAUUGAGCUGGUCUGUCAUCGUUGUGGUAGAUGGGUGUGUGUGUUUUAACUUCCUGGUCAGUCAUCGUUGUGGUAGAUGAGUGUGUGUGUUUUAACUUCCUGGUCAGUCAUCGUUGUGGUAGAUGAGUGUGUGUGUUUUAACUUCCUGGUCAGUCAUCGUUGUGACAGAUGAGUGUGUGUGUUUUAACUUCCUGGUCUUUGGGUUGUGCAUCUUAUCUACAAAUCGUCUCUGAAUGUAAAAACGGAGGUUUUAUCCAAGAAGGUUGUGUUUCCCAGGCCAC